This 468-nucleotide ribosomal RNA is filed under the name uncultured bacterium. RNAcentral's name for it is "partial 16S ribosomal RNA". It matches the Rfam family "Bacterial small subunit ribosomal RNA", at positions 28 to 507 of the family's 1533-position model. The record is from RNAcentral.
GACGAACGCUGGCGGCGUGCUUAACACAUGCAAGUCGAACGGAAAGGCCCUGCUUUUGUGGGGUGCUCGAGUGGCGAACGGGUGAGUAACACGUGAGUAACCUGCCCUUGACUUUGGGAUAACUUCAGGAAACUGGGGCUAAUACCGGAUAGGAGCUCCUGCUGCAUGGUGGGGGUUGGAAAGUUUCGGCGGUUGGGGAUGGACUCGCGGCUUAUCAGCUUGUUGGUGGGGUAGUGGCUUACCAAGGCUUUGACGGGUAGCCGGCCUGAGAGGGUGACCGGCCACAUUGGGACUGAGAUACGGACCAGACUCCUACGGGAGGCAGCAGUGGGGAAUAUUGCACAAUGGGCGGAAGCCUGAUGCAGCAACGCCGCGUGCGGGAUGACGGCCUUCGGGUUGUAAACCGCUUUCGCCUGUGACGAAGCGUGCGUGACGGUAAUGGGUAAAGAAGCACCGGCUAACUACGUG